RNAcentral lists this ribosomal RNA (253 nucleotides) under uncultured bacterium. Its description in RNAcentral is "partial 16S ribosomal RNA". It matches the Rfam family "Bacterial small subunit ribosomal RNA", at positions 524 to 776 of the family's 1533-position model. The record is from RNAcentral.
UACAGAGGGGGCAAGCGUUGUUCGGACUUACUGGGCGUAAAGGGCGCGUAGGCGGCCUGUUAAGUCGAACGUGAAAUCCCUGGGCUCAACCCAGGAACUGCGUCCGAUACUGGCAGGCUUGAAUCCGGGAGAGGGAUGUGGAAUUCCAGGUGUAGCGGUGAAAUGCGUAGAUAUCUGGAGGAACACCGGUGGCGAAGGCGGCAUCCUGGACCGGUAUUGACGCUGAGGCGCGAAAGCCAGGGGAGCAAACGGG